This is a long non-coding RNA of Centropristis striata (black sea bass), 403 nucleotides long. RefSeq lists it as uncharacterized. The transcript has 3 exons. The record is from RefSeq and is a predicted model, not a curated record. Lineage: Eukaryota; Metazoa; Chordata; Actinopteri; Perciformes; Serranidae.
CAAGAUUCCAGGGACGAUCCUAGAGAAGGUUCUAACCUGAAACAUCUACUGAGUGUGCUGAUCCCUCUGUCUCUGGUUGUCAGUCUGUGUCCACAAUCACAACACGUCUGCUGAGCUGAUCAUCACUGUAGCCAGCAGGUGGUGAGCUGAUGACCGUUCAUAAUGGAGGAAAUGAACAUUAAAUCAGCUGAUAAUAGAAAGGGACGAUGUGUGUCCCCUCAGUGUCCAGUCCUUGGUCCUGUCCUCUCAUAUCUUUCCAUGUUGUCCUGUAUCUGAUCCAAAGCUGGACAGCUGUCCUCCCUCCCAGCCUGUCUUCAGUCAGAGCCAGAGGGCUGGAGCUGCUCUCUUGUGUCCUGUCAGUGGUUGGACCUCAGCUGUCUGUCUCUUGUCCACCAGAGUCCAC